GAACUGAAGAGUUUGAUCAUGGCUCAGAUUGAACGCUGGCGGCAGGCCUAACACAUGCAAGUCGAGCGGAUGAUGGGAGCUUGCUCCUGGGUUCAGCGGCGGACGGGUGAGUAAUGCCUAGGAAUCUGCCUGGUAGUGGGGGACAACGUUUCGAAAGGAACGCUAAUACCGCAUACGUCCUACGGGA
Molecule: ribosomal RNA, 187 nt
Filed under: Pseudomonas sp. AU11447
Lineage: Bacteria; Pseudomonadati; Pseudomonadota; Gammaproteobacteria; Pseudomonadales; Pseudomonadaceae
Description: partial 16S ribosomal RNA
Rfam family: Bacterial small subunit ribosomal RNA
Source: RNAcentral